RNAcentral lists this ribosomal RNA (419 nucleotides) under uncultured bacterium. RNAcentral describes it as "partial 16S ribosomal RNA". It matches the Rfam family "Bacterial small subunit ribosomal RNA", at positions 355 to 765 of the family's 1533-position model. The record is from RNAcentral.
UGGGGAAUAUUGCACAAUGGGCGCAAGCCUGAUGCAGCCAUGCCGCGUGUGUGAAGAAGGCCUUCGGGUUGUAAAGCACUUUCAGCGAGGAGGAAGGGUAGUGUGUUAAUAGCACAUUGCAUUGACGUUACUCGCAGAAGAAGCACCGGCUAACUCCGUGCCAGCAGCCGCGGUAAUACGGAGGGUGCAAGCGUUAAUCGGAAUUACUGGGCGUAAAGCGCACGCAGGCGGUUUGUUAAGUCAGAUGUGAAAUCCCCGCGCUUAACGUGGGAACUGCAUUUGAAACUGGCAAGCUAGAGUCUUGUAGAGGGGGGUAGAAUUCCAGGUGUAGCGGUGAAAUGCGUAGAGAUCUGGAGGAAUACCGGUGGCGAAGGCGGCCCCCCUGGACAAAGACUGACGCUCAGGUGCGAAAGCGUGGG